GAUGAACGCUGGCGGCGUGCCUAAUACAUGCAAGUCGAGCGAACAGACGAGGAGCUUGCUCCUCUGACGUUAGCGGCGGACGGGUGAGUAACACGUGGAUAACCUACCUAUAAGACUGGGAUAACCUCGGGAAACCGGAGCUAAUACCGGAUAAUAUAUUGAACCGCAUGGUUCAAUAGUGAAAGACGGUUUUGCUGUCACUUAUAGAUGGAUCCGCGCCGCAUUAGCUAGUUGGUAAGGUAACGGCUUACCAAGGCAACGAUGCGUAGCCGACCUGAGAGGGUGAUCGGCCACACUGGAACUGAGACACGGUCCAGACUCCUACGGGAGGCAGCAGUAGGGAAUCUUCCGCAAUGGGCGAAAGCCUGACGGAGCAACGCCGCGUGAGUGAUGAAGGUCUUCGGAUCGUAAAACUCUGUUAUUAGGGAAGAACAAAUGUGUAAGUAACUAUGCACGUCUUGACGGUACCUAAUCAGAAAGCCACGGCUAACUACGUG
RNAcentral lists this ribosomal RNA (497 nucleotides) under uncultured bacterium. RNAcentral's name for it is "partial 16S ribosomal RNA". It matches the Rfam family "Bacterial small subunit ribosomal RNA", at positions 28 to 507 of the family's 1533-position model. The record is from RNAcentral.